GGCAGAGGGGGCAAGCGUUGCUCGGAAUCACUGGGCGUAAAGGGCGCGUAGGCGGGAUGGCAAGUCGGUCGUGAAAUCCUUCGGCUCAACCGAAGAACGUCGGCCGAUACUGCCGUUCUUGAGGGAUGCAGAGGAGAUUGGAAUUCCCGGUGUAGCGGUGAAAUGCGCAGAUAUCAGGAGGAACACCGGUGGCGAAGGCGGGUCUCUGGGCCGUAACUGACGCUGAGGAGCGAAAGCCAGGGGAGCGAACGGG
Molecule: ribosomal RNA, 253 nt
Filed under: uncultured bacterium
Lineage: Bacteria
Description: partial 16S ribosomal RNA
Rfam family: Bacterial small subunit ribosomal RNA
Source: RNAcentral